Long non-coding RNA from Oncorhynchus tshawytscha (Chinook salmon), 282 nucleotides. The record is from Ensembl. Lineage: Eukaryota; Metazoa; Chordata; Actinopteri; Salmoniformes; Salmonidae.
GACGGAUACAGGGGCUGAGGGGAGAGACGGAGCCAGGGGCAGAGGGGAGAGACGGAGCCAGGGGCUGAGUGGAGAGACAGGGGCAGAGACAGGGGCAGAGGGCAGAGACAGGGGCAGAGACAGAGACAGGGGCAGAGGGGAGAGACGGAGCCAGGGGCAGAGGGGAGAGACGGAGCCAGGGGCUGAGUGGAGAGACAGGGGCAGAGAGGAGAGACAGGGGCAGAGAGGAGAGACAGGGGCAGAGAGGAGAGACAGGGGCAGAGAGGAGAGACAGGGGCAGAG